RNAcentral lists this ribosomal RNA (365 nucleotides) under uncultured Thermovirga sp. RNAcentral describes it as "bacterial SSU rRNA". It matches the Rfam family "Bacterial small subunit ribosomal RNA", at positions 1020 to 1382 of the family's 1533-position model. Lineage: Bacteria; Thermotogati; Synergistota; Synergistia; Synergistales; Thermovirgaceae. The record is from RNAcentral.
CGGGGAAUUCCGAGACAGGUGCUGCAUGGCUGUCGUCAGCUCGUGCCGUGAGAUGUUGGGUUAAGUCCCGCAACGAGCGCAACCCUGCAUCCAGUUGCCAUCGGGCGAGCCGGGCGACUCUGGAGGGACUGCCGGCGACAAGCCGGAGGAAGGUGGGGAGUGACGUCAAGUCAUCAUGGCCCUUAUGUCCAGGGCGACACACGUGCUACAAUGGCCGGCACAGCGGGAAGCGGAGGGGCGACCCUGAGCGGAUCCCUUGAAAGCCGGUCCCAGUUCGGAUUGCAGUCUGCAACUCGACUGCAUGAAGUUGGAAUCGCUAGUAAUCGCGGAUCAGCCAAGCCGCGGUGAAUACGUUCCCGGGCCUU